RNAcentral lists this ribosomal RNA (423 nucleotides) under uncultured bacterium. RNAcentral describes it as "partial 16S ribosomal RNA". It matches the Rfam family "Bacterial small subunit ribosomal RNA", at positions 359 to 774 of the family's 1533-position model. The record is from RNAcentral.
GAAUUUUGGACAAUGGGCGAAAGCCUGAUCCAGCAAUGCAGCGUGCAGGAUGAAGGCCUUCGGGUUGUAAUCUGCUUUCGUACGGAACGAUAAGCUUGGGGUUAAUACCCUGGACUCAUGCCGCUACCGGUAGCAUCAGCAUCGGCUCACUCAGUGCCGGCAGCCGCGGUACUACGUAGGGUGCCAGCGUUAAUCGGAAUUACUGGGCGUAAAGGGUGCGCCGGCGGUUAUGUAAGACAGAGGUAAAAUCCCCGGGCUCAACCUGGGAACUGCCUUUGUGACUGCAAGGCUAGAGUACGGCAGAGGGGGGUGGAAUUCCGCGUGUAGCAGUGAAAUGCGUAGAUAUGCGGAGGAACACCGAUGGCGAAGGCAACCCCCUGGGCCUGUACUGACGCUCAUGCACGAAAGCGUGGGGAGCAAACA